Non-coding RNA from Dickeya dadantii 3937, 381 nucleotides. It matches the Rfam family "transfer-messenger RNA". Rfam says of the family: Bacterial tmRNA, also known as 10Sa RNA or SsrA, is named for its dual tRNA and mRNA-like properties. Its role is to liberate the mRNA from a stalled ribosome. NCBI's taxonomy places the organism in Bacteria, Pseudomonadati, Pseudomonadota, Gammaproteobacteria, Enterobacterales, Pectobacteriaceae. The record is from Rfam.
GGGGCUGAUUCUGGAUUCGACGGGAUUCGCGAAACCCAAGGUGCAUGCCGAGGGGCGGUUGGCCUCGUAAAAAGCCGCAAAAAAAUAGUCGCAAACGACGAAAACUUCGCACCUGCUGCUUUAGCAGCUUAAUCAGCCUAAGAAACUGAAGGUGUCCUCUCUCCCUAGCCUCCGCUCUUAGGACGGGGAUCAAGAGAGGUCAAACCUAAAAGAGAUCGCGUGGAUGCCCUGCCUGGGGUUGAAGCGUUAAAUCCAAUCAGGCUAGUUUGUUAGUGGCGUGUCUGUCCGCAGCUGGCAAGCGAAUGUAAAGACCAGACUAAGCAUGUAGUACCGACGGUGUAGGAAUUUCGGACGCGGGUUCAACUCCCGCCAGCUCCACCA